This 275-nucleotide unclassified non-coding RNA is filed under the name Hevea brasiliensis (rubber tree). The record is from RNAcentral. Lineage: Eukaryota; Viridiplantae; Streptophyta; Magnoliopsida; Malpighiales; Euphorbiaceae.
UUUUUUUUUUUUUUUUUUUUUGUAGGCAAUUAAGAUUCAAUCCUUCUGAUAAAGAAAAAUAAAGAAAAAACAGAGAAUUAUGAGAAAUAGAACAAAACCAAACUGUAUGAAUCCCUCAAAAUUGAAAAAUUAUGAGUAACUACACAUAAAACAAAGGUCAAUAUCAUCCAUUUCCUCUCCACUCGCCACUCUCCACCAGUCCAUCAAUUUCCCAUAAAAAAUAUAUAUAUAUAUUCAAAGAUAAUAUUUACAUGAACAGAAGGAACCUAAGAAAA